UCACUUGUUCUUUAAAUGAGGACUCGUAUCAACGGCAUCACGAGGAUCCUACUGUCUCCCCCCUCUAAUCGGUGAAACUGAUCUCUCCGUGAAGAAGCGGAGAUGUACAUAUAAGACGAGAAGACCCCAUGGAGCUUUAAACCCAACAACACCCGCCCCCCUCCAAAUCCUAUUAUUUACCCGGUGAUUGUUUGUUUGGUUUUAGGUUGGGGUGACCGCGGAGUAUAAGAUAUCCUCCAUGAAAAAAGCUAACUGCCCUUAUUAGAGAAAGACACUUCCAAAAAAUAAUAAAUUAAUUUUAAAUGAUCCGACAUUCGAUCAACGAACCAAGUUACCCUGGGGAUAACAGCGCAAUCCGUCCCGAGAGCCCCUAUCGACAGGCGGGUUUACGACCUCGAUGUUGGAUCAGGGUAUCCCAGUGGUGCAGCAGCUACUAAAGGUUCGUUUGUUCAACGAUUAAAACCCU
RNAcentral lists this ribosomal RNA (466 nucleotides) under Boophis madagascariensis (Madagascar bright-eyed frog). RNAcentral's name for it is "partial 16S ribosomal RNA". It matches the Rfam family "Bacterial large subunit ribosomal RNA", at positions 1965 to 2597 of the family's 2925-position model. Lineage: Eukaryota; Metazoa; Chordata; Amphibia; Anura; Mantellidae. The record is from RNAcentral.